Molecule: ribosomal RNA, 459 nt
Filed under: uncultured bacterium
Lineage: Bacteria
Description: partial 16S ribosomal RNA
Rfam family: Bacterial small subunit ribosomal RNA
Source: RNAcentral
CCUAUGGGAGGCAGCAGUGAGGAAUAUUGGUCAAUGGACGAGAGUCUGAACCAGCCAAGUAGCGUGAAGGAUGACUGCCCUAUGGGUUGUAAACUUCUUUUAUAAAGGAAUAAAACGAGGCACGUGUGCCUUUUUGCAUGUACUUUAUGAAUAAGGAUCGGCUAACUCCGUGCCAGCAGCCGCGGUAAUACGGAGGAUGCGAGCGUUAUCCGGAUUUAUUGGGUUUAAAGGGUGCGCAGGCGGCGUGUCAAGUCAGCGGUAAAAUGUCGGGGCUCAACCCCGGCCGGCCGUUGAAAUUGGCGUGCUCGAGUUGGAGAGAAGUAUGCGGAAUUCGUGGUGUAGCGGUGAAAUGCAUAGAUAUCACGAAGAACCCCGAUUGCGAAGGCAGCAUACCGGCUCCACACUGACGCUGAGGCACGAAAGCGUGGGUAUCGAACAGGAUUAGAUACCCCAGUAGUC